UUUCUAGCUAAUCUUUCAGUCCUUGGUAUUUGUCCACCUUCUUCCUGAUGUUAUAGUCUCUGAGUAUUGCUACAUCCACCACCACUGCAGUUUUCCAUUCCUUGUCUACCACGACGAUGUCAGGUUCGUUGGCCAGUACGUGCUUGUCUGUCUGGAUCUGAAAGUCCCACGGGAUCUUAGCCCUGUCAUUCUCAACUACGCUUAGUGGUAUCUCCCAUCUGGACGUAGGCAGGUACAGCCCAUAUUUGAUGGUGAUGUUUCAGUACACAUUCCUAGAAAUGUGGGCCUGGAUUAAAAACAUCUGAGCUGUUUUUCUGUUGGCAGCGAUAGCAGCCAGCAAGUAAAUAGUGAAAAAUCCUUGAAAGCGC
Pelobates cultripes (western spadefoot toad) is the source of this 368-nucleotide non-coding RNA. Lineage: Eukaryota; Metazoa; Chordata; Amphibia; Anura; Pelobatidae. The record is from the annotation of a GenBank genome assembly.